This 2839-nucleotide unclassified non-coding RNA is filed under the name Hevea brasiliensis (rubber tree). The record is from RNAcentral. Lineage: Eukaryota; Viridiplantae; Streptophyta; Magnoliopsida; Malpighiales; Euphorbiaceae.
AAAAAAGCAAAAAAGAAAACACACACAAGGAAUUUGGAAUAAACAUUGAACACCUAGGCCCUAGCUGGGGAAUGCUCUAUUGCUUUUUCAGGGCGAAUCCCAUUAGAAUUUCACUUGUGACUUGAGGCUGGAGCAAAUAGCAACAAAAGGGUGGUUCAAUAAUUUCACCCCCAACAGACCUUUGAAGAUGUCUGUUACAGUUAGGAAAUAUCAUAGUUGGAAACAGGUGAGAGGUCCCAUGAAGCUUAAAAGACUAUUCUGAUAAUUCACACUGAAAGAAUCCUUCCAUGAAUAUUAAAUACAAUACGGUUCUACCUUUUCCUAAAUAGUGCUUUUCUUAAAGGCCCACAGCUAUGAACAGAUGAAACUCAUCAUGACAAAGAUGAAUUAUUUCAUAAAUAUACAAAAAUAGCCACCAAGAUCAUCACUAACUCCUGAAUUUGCUGGACUUUUUGGUCAUUGUGAUUUCAGUUUCUCGAGAAAAAAGAGCCUAUCUUCGCCCAUCUCUUAUUCAGCUCCUUCACAAUCACAUUGCUUGGUCUUUGGUGUAGUGAACAUUUGGUUCGUCUGAAUUCAAGGGAAAUCUUUCUGAGUUUUAUAAAAGUGUAGUUCCCAAAUUUCCAAGAAUAGAUUUUGCUUACUUGAUUCACUAAACCACCGAGUUUCAGGAGAUGGGUAAGCAUUUUUUUUUAACGUCCGCAAUCAGCAUUGAAUUUAGCAUUUCAAUUACUGUUUCGAGUAUUUCCGUGCAAAUGGUUUAAACUUAUACACUUAAAUUGCCAUAUUAAUAUCUUGCUAAAAGCUUGAGUUGUUAAACAAUCUCUUCCACAAAUCAUCUUCAUAGUCUUCUUAAAUUCUGUUGCAAAUAUUUCCUGUAAUGGAUUUUCUCCUCCACCAGUCUACUUCACCAACGCACCAGUAUGUAUAAUUCCCCUUUUCUCCCCAAUCUUUCAUCAACCUUCCUUUAUCUUCAUUGCAUAUAGAUUUGCUUAUAAAACUACCUGAAAUCAUGGUAACAGAUCAGUUUCAUAAAAAAAAUAUUCUUUAAUCAUUGAGGACCACUCUGUAUUGUGGGCAGUAAUGGUGCUUCAAUGGCUAAGAAGAGGAGUUGGUUCAAUUUAGUGAGAACGUUUUUCAUUUCAGACACAGAGUCCAAACAAGAAAAGAGGGACAAGAGAAGAAAAUGGGUUUUCCUUGGAAGGCUUAAGGCGAAAAGCAGGCUGGCCUCCAUUUCAGCACCAUCACCACCAAAAGAAAGAACAACACUAAGUUAGGCAUGGGAGGAGCAGAGCAAGCGAGCUUUAAAUUUUGCACUUGCCACUGCUGCUGCUGCUGAAUCAGCUGCUCAUGCUGCUGCUAAGGUUGUUUUGCUAACUGGUGUCCCUCACUCUACCCAUCAAUGUGAGAAAGAAAGAGAAGAAAAUUUAGCCAUCAAAAUACAAGCUGAUGCCCUUCAAUCCACUCAUCCAUGUGAGAGGGAGAUCCAAGAAAUUGCUGCUCUUAAGAUUCAAGCCACAUUUCGUGGUUAUCUUGUUAGUUUUGUUCAAACUCUUUUCUUUAUUUAACACUUUAUCUCAUUUCUCUUUAUCUUGUUUCCAUUGAAAUAAGUUGGAUUAGAGAAUUAGUAUGGUAAAGAACACAUACGAGUGGUAUGAAGGAGGAUUAGAAUUUAGGAGAAAACACACAUGUUAUCCAGAUAAGUUUGGAAUGUAGGAUGAUUAUUCAGGUAUAUAAUAGUGAAAUUAAGUCACAGAAAACUCAACCCUCAAUUUAAUUGUCACCUUUGAUUUCAGCAACCUUACUAAAAAAACUAAAGAAUCUCAAUUCUCCUGUCUCAUAUUGCAUGAUUUUGACAAUUAUAUCUGGGAGCAUCGCAUGCAAGGAAAGCUUUGCGAGCACUGAAGGGGAUAGUGAAGCUUCAGGCUAUUAUCCGUGGGCGAAAUGUGCGACGCCAUGCUAUGAAUGCUCUGAAAUGCUUGCAGUCAAUUGUAAAUAUCCACCCGAAGGUCUGUGCCAAGAGAAUCCAAAUGGUGGAAGGAACUUCUUUCUGCCAUGAAAAUAAACAGUUCCAAAAUUUGAGUGACAAGAUAAUAAGGGUAGGUAUAGAGUAUUGGAGAUCUUUGCUGUUAUACCAGCAACUCAAGAAAAGCUUGUUCAUACCAAAAAUCCUUUUAACCAUUUCAGCUCUAUCUGGGCCCAUACUUUUCUGCUACUGCAUUAACCAGCCAAAUAAUUUUUGCCUUCUUCAGAUGGACACAAACGAUCAAAAAAGAUGGGAUGGAAGCAUUUUGACAAAAGAGGAGGCAGAUGCCUUGUUUCUUAGCAAGAAAGAGGCUGCAAUCAAGAGAGAAAGGAUAAAAGAAUAUUCAUUUAAUCACCGGAAUUCAGCAGACACUGAGAGGAACAAGGCGAAUGGAAGGUGGAGGUAUUGGCUAGAUCAAUGGGUGGAUAUUCAAGUUUCUAAUAAAAGCAAAGAACUAGAAGAUUUGGACACAGUUUUGACUUCAACUCCAGAGCCUGGAGUGGAAUAUAGAGGGAAACAACUUAAACUGAGAGGUCCGCAGAGACAGUAUAAAAUUGAAGGACAAGAUUCUCCGAUAGAAGCUUCAAGAUCAUUUCAUAGAAAGCAGUAUUCACUGGGAGAAGACAAUUCCUUUUCCAGGUCUCCUGUGAUCCCAACUUACAUGGCUGCAACUGAAUCGGCCAAGGCAAAAGCAAGGUCAAUGAGCACACCGAGGCCACGAAUAGGAAUUCAGGAUCCUUGCUUCGAUGAUAGCUUAUCAUACAAGAAAGGACUCUCUCUUUGGUCUUCUUAUAAUGGUGAAUUGUUUAGCACUUA